This 457-nucleotide ribosomal RNA is filed under the name uncultured bacterium. RNAcentral describes it as "bacterial SSU rRNA". It matches the Rfam family "Bacterial small subunit ribosomal RNA", at positions 340 to 789 of the family's 1533-position model. The record is from RNAcentral.
UACGGGAGGCAGCAGUGGGGAAUAUUGCACAAUGGGCGCAAGCCUGAUGCAGCCAUGCCGCGUGUAUGAAAAAGGCCUUCGGGUUGUAAAGUACUUUCAGUCGUGAGGAAGGUGUUAAGGUUAAUAACCUUAGCAAUUGACGUUAGCGACAGAAGAAGCACCGGCUAACUCCGUGCCAGCAGCCGCGGUAAUACGGAGGGUGCGAGCGUUAAUCGGAAUUACUGGGCGUAAAGGGCACGCAGGCGGUUAAUUAAGUUGGAUGUGAAAUCCCCGGGCUUAACCCGGGAAUGGCAUUCAAGACUGGUUAGCUAGAGUCUUGUAGAGGGGGUUAGAAUUCCAUGUGUAGCGGUGAAAUGCGUAGAGAUGUGGAGGAAUACCGGUGGCGAAGGCGGCCCCUGGACAAAGACUGACGCUCAUGUGCGAAAGCGUGGGGAGCAAACAGGGAUUAGAUACCCGU